CUUGCGGGUAGAGGGGGAAAUGUGCUAUGGCACCGCCUUAAGAUGAGCCUGCGUCCCAUUAGUUAGUUGGUGGGGUAAAGGCCUACCAAGGCGACGAUGGGUAGCCGGCCUGAGAGGGUGAUCGGNCACACCGGGACUGAGACACGGCCCAGACUCCUACGGGAGGCAGCAGCUAAGAAUCUUCCGCAAUGGACGAAAGUCUGACGGAGCGACGCCGCGUGAACGAAGAAGGCCGGAAGGUUGUAAAGUUCUUUUGCGGGUGAAGAAUAAGGCGAGGAGGGAAUGCCUCGCUGAUGACGUUAGCCUGUGAAUAAGCCCCGGCUAAUUACGUGCCAGCAGCCGCGGUAACACGUAAGGGGCGAGCGUUGUUCGGAAUUAUUGGGCGUAAAGGGCGUGUAGGCUGUUUUGUAAGCCUGGUGUGAAAGUGCACGGCUUAACUGUGUAUGUGCGCUGGGAACUGCAAGACUAGAGUCCGGAAGGGGGAGGUAGAAUUCCUGGUGUAGGGGUGAAAUCUGUAGAUAUCAGGAAGAAUACCGGUGGCGAAGGCGACCUCCUGGUCCUGGACUGACGCUGAGGCGCGAAAGCGUGGGGAGCGAACAGGAUUAGAUACCCUGGUAGUCCACGCUGUAAACGAUGUGCACUAGGUGUUGGGGCAAGAGCUUCAGUGCCGAAGCGAACGCGAUAAGUGCACC
Molecule: ribosomal RNA, 692 nt
Filed under: uncultured organism
Description: bacterial SSU rRNA
Rfam family: Bacterial small subunit ribosomal RNA
Source: RNAcentral